Molecule: ribosomal RNA, 506 nt
Filed under: Alkalibacterium sp. M10-C27
Lineage: Bacteria; Bacillati; Bacillota; Bacilli; Lactobacillales; Carnobacteriaceae
Description: bacterial SSU rRNA
Rfam family: Bacterial small subunit ribosomal RNA
Source: RNAcentral
UGAGCUUGAUCCUGGCUCAGGACGAACGCGGGCGGUAUGCUUAAUACAUGCAAGUCGAACGCUGAAGCACUCUGCUUGCAGAGUGUGGAUGAGUGGCGAACGGGUGAGUAACACGUGGGGAACCUGCCCAUAAGAGGGGGAUAACAUCCGGAAACGGGUGCUAAUACCGCAUAGGUGAUCAUAGCGCAUGCUUAGAUCAUUAAAGAUGGCUUCGGCUAUCGCUUAUGGAUGGCCCCGCGGCGUAUUAGCUAGUUGGUGAGGUAAUGGCUCACCAAGGCUGUGAUACGUAGCCGACCUGAGAGGGUGAUCGGCCACACUGGAACUGAGACACGGUCCAGACUCCUACGGGAGGCAGCAGUAGGGAAUCUUCCACAAUGGGCGAAAGCCUGAUGGAGCAAUACCGCGUGAGUGAAGAAGGUCUUCGGAUCGUAAAGCUCUGUUGUUAGAGAAGAACAAGAGGUGUAGUAACUGGCACCUCCUUGACGGUAUCUAACCAGAAGACCGAC